Molecule: ribosomal RNA, 723 nt
Filed under: uncultured bacterium
Lineage: Bacteria
Description: bacterial SSU rRNA
Rfam family: Bacterial small subunit ribosomal RNA
Source: RNAcentral
UGGCUCAGGAUGAACGCUAGCGGCAGGCCUAAUACAUGCAAGCUGAACGGUAAAUGUUGUAGCAAUACAAUAUGAGAGUAGCGUAAGGGUGCGUAACACGUAUGCAAUUUGCCCGUAACUGAGGAAUAGCUCCCCGAAAGGGGAAUUAAUACCUCAUAAUAUCCCAGGAUGGCAUCAGAGAGGGAUUAAAGCUUCGGCGGUUACGGAUGAGCAUGCGCCUGAUUAGUUAGUUGGUGAGGUAACGGCUCACCAAGACGAUGAUCAGUAGGGGAACUGAGAGGUUGAUCCCCCACACUGGCACUGAGAUACGGGCCAGACUCCUACGGGAGGCAGCAGUAGGGAAUAUUGGUCAAUGGGUGAGAGCCUGAACCAGCCAUGCCGCGUGCAGGAAGACGGCCUUCUGGGUUGUAAACUGCUUUUGUCAGGGGAUAAAAUACCCGUGCGCGGGGAAUUGAAGGUACCUGGUGAAUAAGCCACGGCUAACUACGUGCCAGCAGCCGCGGUAAUACGUAGGUGGCAAGCGUUGUCCGGAUUUAUUGGGUUUAAAGGGUGCGUAGGCGGUCCUAUAAGUCAGUGGUGAAAUACGGCAGCUCAACUGUCGAGGUGCCAUUGAUACUGCAGGACUAGAGUACUGUUGAGGUAGGCGGAAUGGACGGUGUAGCGGUGAAAUGCUUAGAUAUCGUCCAGAACACCGAUAGCGAAGGCAGCUUACUAAAGAGUAAC